UAGACGCGAAAAGUGUCAUGACAUGCCGACUUUGUGAAUGACCAAUUUUUGAACGCACCUUGCACCUAUCCUUGGGAUGGGUGUGCUUGUGUGAGUGUGGGACGGAGCUUGGUUAAAGAUUGCCAGAGAUGAGGCGUGCGAACGAAAAUAGCUGCCUUGAAAGACAUGGCGAGCACGUGAUGAGCGCCCUGGGAUACAUCUACAGGCAGCGAGUCACGUGUUCGGUAACGAGAGUGUGAGUGAGACGGUAAGAGAGAAUUUUAUCUCCCUUUUCACGUCUCACACCCCCACCUCUACUUAUCACCCACCUCACAUCAAGCAAGACCACCCGCUGAACUUAA
This 341-nucleotide unclassified non-coding RNA is filed under the name uncultured fungus. RNAcentral describes it as "sequence contains ITS1". The stretch from base 1 to 100 matches the Rfam family "5.8S ribosomal RNA", at positions 50 to 154 of the family's 154-position model. Lineage: Eukaryota; Fungi. The record is from RNAcentral.